CUCUGCGGCCACAAAAUACAGCAGAAGUAACUGGCCUGUGUAAGCGGAUGGGCUCGGCCUCAAGGACCGGGUGCUCGGCUGAAAAAAAAAGCUCGCGGCGAUCACCGAUGCCAGGGUUCUCCAGAAACGGAGCCCAUCUAACCAAUGCCCAGCACACUCGCUCGGCUCCACACACGAGACCACCUCCGACCCGCACUAAGUCGGCCAACUGCACUCUGGAGGCGGCGGCAGCCAGCGAGGGAGAAAGGGAACUUGAGAAGGGGAAGGCUGUCCCGGGACCCCGAGGAGGACAGCCCCGCUACCGGGAACGGGGUGCGGCAUAAAACACCUCCGGCUUAGGGCUGACCCUCCCUGACCCCUGGAGGCCCAGGCGGGGCGGCUGGGGGUGACGCGGCAGGGGUCUCCGCGCCCAGGCUCCCGCGGAGCACCCACACGUGGAGGUUCCCACUUUGGGGUCGCGGCCGCAGCAGCACCGGGCGGGGUGCUGUCCGCGCUGCCCGCAUACGGCCGCGGCCUGAGUGGAGACGCCUGCCCCCAGCCCCGCGGCCUCGGCCCCCGUCCGCCCUCCCUCCCUGCUCGGCGGCCUCGUACUCACGCUGACUUCAUGGCAGCAGGCUCCACGCCGCUCAAACGCGCGCGCAGGACGGCUGGCUGGCGAAGACUGUGGGACGUUAGGACCGGCAGCAGGAACGGGGACUCCGCGGCUAAGGCGCGGUGCUCUGCGAAGCUGGCGGCGACGCUAAGAGCCCAGGUGAGCUCCCGCCUGGCGCAUUUCAAACGGGCCAAUCAGCGCCCGUCCGCAGGGAGAAGCCGGACCUCCGCGGAAGUGACUGAGCUGCCGGAAGUGGCGCUUGUCUCCUAGGCGACCGACGCUGAAAGGGCCACGGAGUCGUGUGUCAGGGCUGGAGGGAGAUCUUGAGUCUCGUCCUACCUGACGAGAAAUACCCACAGGUGUGGAGGGGCUGGCCCCCUUCACCUGGGUCUCGACUCCUGUUUUGUUCUACGGUUCCCAUUGCAGUGCUGUGACCCCCAGAAGCUCAGGAAAACCACUGACUUCCUGGUGUUGCCAACAGGCAGACAGGAGAUGCAGCCAGUCCUUACCCUGUAGAAGAUGGGGAGGGAGUCCCAGGUGUACGGAUAAGCAAAGGCGAGGACACGAAUCACCUUACAGAGUCUGGGCUUCUGGAUUUCAAGAAACCUAAAUCAGGGAAGGAAAGUGGGGGAGGAAAUGGAAUGAAAAGAGUCUCAGCAAAUUGCACACGCACGUGCGUGCACACCGAGGGCCUGGUCAUCAACAGAGGACAAGCAUUUUUGUGCAAGCUCCUGUGGCCAGCAGCUUCUCCACCACCCUCGCCCAUUCCUCCCCACCCCAAUGGAAGUGACAAAACUUCAGAUGCGAAAAGAUCUCCAGAGACCUGGCCAUGAGAAGCAGUGGUGUCCAGACUAAGCCAGAAAGGAGGCGCUGGGCAGAAACCCUUCGAGGGCCAAGUUAUGUAACUGCCAAAGAAUCUUUUAAAACUCUAGUUGCUACAGGGACAGGGAACAGGUCGGGGGAAUUGGGGGAUCCACUGCCACAGACUCUUGAGGGGCACACUCUGCAAAGGCUGAGAUGCACCCAUCUAGUUGGAGCCCAGGUAUUAUCAUGCAGGAGACCUGGGUUCGAGUAGGUGUUUGAUCCUUGGAGAGCUUUCUGGAAUAUUUAUACCACACACAGGGAUACUUGGCUUGGGAAAACUAAAUAAACGUGAAGUCUUUC
Pongo pygmaeus (Bornean orangutan) is the source of this 1756-nucleotide long non-coding RNA. RefSeq lists it as uncharacterized. The record is from RefSeq and is a predicted model, not a curated record. The transcript is spliced from 2 exons. Lineage: Eukaryota; Metazoa; Chordata; Mammalia; Primates; Hominidae.